GUGUUGUAUGAAAGAGAAGGUUAACAAUCCUCUUGACGAGGAUGGACGAGGCCCUCAUUCCUAACAACACACAUAUGAUUAAUGCAUUGCCACUUACUUCGUGGCAUCUAACCACUGUUUUUU
Molecule: small nuclear RNA, 123 nt
Organism: Oryctolagus cuniculus (rabbit)
Lineage: Eukaryota; Metazoa; Chordata; Mammalia; Lagomorpha; Leporidae
Source: Ensembl